RNAcentral lists this unclassified non-coding RNA (168 nucleotides) under Geopora cervina. RNAcentral describes it as "partial internal transcribed spacer 2". Lineage: Eukaryota; Fungi; Ascomycota; Pezizomycetes; Pezizales; Pyronemataceae. The record is from RNAcentral.
AAAAGCAACUCAGCCGCGGCUGGCGGUUGGUGAUGGAGGAAGAGCACGUCUCGUUGUCGGUCUCCCCUCCCAAAAUCAACGGCGGAACGUCACUGGCACUCGGUGUUGUAGUAUUAUUCGCCGAUCACCCAGUGUUGUUCCUGCCACCCAAACCCCCAUAAUUCUCUU